GGAGUGCCUUUUCAUCCUUUUCCACCCCUGCCACCAUAUCCUCGAGGUAAGAGAGGCCCGCCUACAUCUGCCUGUGGUAGUGCAGUUGGACAGUCCUCUCAAGAAGGGCAGGUCAACAGCCAUGAUUCUCGAGCUUCUUUCUCAGAAGAAAGCCCUCCUAGUACAAGUACUAAUUACCAACCAGAUUUGUGCACCCCAUCAAACAACCAACAGAUAAUACCG
Molecule: unclassified non-coding RNA, 222 nt
Filed under: Hevea brasiliensis (rubber tree)
Lineage: Eukaryota; Viridiplantae; Streptophyta; Magnoliopsida; Malpighiales; Euphorbiaceae
Source: RNAcentral